GCAAGAUUAAAACUCAAAGGAAUUGACGGGGACCCGCACAAGCGGUGGAUGAUGUGGAUUAAUUCGAUGCAACGCGAAAAACCUUACCUACCCUUGACAUGCCACUAACGAAGCAGAGAUGCAUUAGGUGCUCGAAAGAGAAAGCGGACACAGGAGAUGCAUGGUUGUCGUCAGUUCGUGUCGUGAGAUGUUGGGUUAAGUCCCGCAACGAGCGCAACCCUUGUCUGUAGUUGCUACGAAAGGGCACUUUAGAGAGACUGCCGGUGACAAACCGGAGGAAGGUGGGGAGGACGUCAAGUCCUCAUGGCCCUUAUGGGUAGGGCUUCACACGUCAUACAAUGGUGCAUACAGAGGGUUGCCAAGCCGCGAGGUGGAGCUAAUCCCAGAAAAUGCAUCGUAGUCCGGAUCGUAGUCUGCAACUCGACUACGUGAAGCUGGAAUCGUUAGUAAUCGCGGAUCAGCAUGCCGCGGUGAAUACGUUCCUGGGUUUUGUACACACCGCCCGUCACCCCACAGAAGAUAUAUAUAGUGUUAUCUCGGGUCUCAAUAAGUCGUACAGCAAUAGU
RNAcentral lists this ribosomal RNA (566 nucleotides) under Ralstonia insidiosa. RNAcentral describes it as "bacterial SSU rRNA". It matches the Rfam family "Bacterial small subunit ribosomal RNA", at positions 888 to 1452 of the family's 1533-position model. The record is from RNAcentral. Lineage: Bacteria; Pseudomonadati; Pseudomonadota; Betaproteobacteria; Burkholderiales; Burkholderiaceae.